This 91-nucleotide transfer RNA is filed under the name Sphingomonas paucimobilis. RNAcentral describes it as "tRNA-Pro". Lineage: Bacteria; Pseudomonadati; Pseudomonadota; Alphaproteobacteria; Sphingomonadales; Sphingomonadaceae. The record is from RNAcentral.
AGGCCGUGGGCGGCGGGCCGGUCGGACGCCAGCGGGUGGCGGCGGCGCGUUUCGGCGAAGCGCCGCUCCAGUUCCAUGUCGGAACAGUCGA